AGGUUCAGGUUCAAUCCCAAGGAUGAACAGUUUCUGAUCUAUGAUCCAUGGAGCAUGUGAAAGAUUAGAUUUAAGUACUAAUUAAUUUUAGAUUAGAUCUAAAUUAAUUAGACUUAAUUGGAUCCAAAAUUUAAGUUAGACUUGGUAUAAAAGUCUUAAAGAGUUUGAGAUUGACAGUCUUUCAAAAUUAUUUCGAACCAACUUCGAAUUGGAUUCGAAUCGGAUCCGUUUUGGAUGAGAUAUGAGAAAUCCUUCUUGCAUCGAGAUUCUACUCUCUUGUGGGCUGAUCAACACCUGAAAGUUUUCUCAUUGUGGGUGUCCCAUUUGGGU
Molecule: long non-coding RNA, 330 nt
Filed under: Elaeis guineensis (African oil palm)
Lineage: Eukaryota; Viridiplantae; Streptophyta; Magnoliopsida; Arecales; Arecaceae
Description: long non-coding RNA (EGUI_LNC062484)
Source: RNAcentral